UAAUCCGACCUAGGCUCAUCUGAUAGCGCAAGGCCCGAAGGUCCCCUGCUUUCUCCCGUAGGACGUAUGCGGUAUUAGCGUCCGUUUCCGAACGUUAUCCCCCACUACCAGGCAGAUUCCUAGGUAUUCCUCACCCGUCCGCCACUCGUCAGCACCCUUGCGGGCCUGUUACCGUUCGACUUGCAUGUGUUAGGCAUGCCGCCAGCGUUCACUCUGAGCCAGGAUCAAACUCU
Molecule: ribosomal RNA, 233 nt
Filed under: uncultured bacterium
Lineage: Bacteria
Description: partial 16S ribosomal RNA
Source: RNAcentral